RNAcentral lists this ribosomal RNA (514 nucleotides) under uncultured bacterium. Its description in RNAcentral is "bacterial SSU rRNA". It matches the Rfam family "Bacterial small subunit ribosomal RNA", at positions 15 to 518 of the family's 1533-position model. The record is from RNAcentral.
GAUCAUGGCUCAGGAUGAACGCUGGCGGCAGGCUUAAUACAUGCAAGUCGAACGGUAAGGCCGAGUGUAGCAAUACACGAGGUACACGAGUGGCGCACGGGUGCGUAACGCGUAUGCAACCUGCCCCCGACCGGGACAAAACAGCUGGAAACGGCUGCUAAUAUCCCAUGGUCAUGCGGAAGGGCAUCCUUCUUCAUGUAAAGAUUCAUUGGUCGGGGAUGGGCAUGCGUAUUAUUAGGUAGUUGGCGGGGUAACGGCCCACCAAGCCGACGAUGAUUAGGGGUCCUGAGAGGGUUAACCCCCACACUGGAACUGAGACACGGUCCAGACUCCUACGGGAGGCAGCAGUAGGGAAUAUUGGGCAAUGGGAGCAAUCCUGACCCAGCCAUGCCGCGUGAAGGAAGACGGCCCUAUGGGUUGUAAACUUCUUUUGCCGCAGAGUAAACCCGGUCACGUGUGGUCGGUUGAGAGUAUGCGGCGAAUAAGUAUCGGCUAACUCCGUGCCAGCAGCCGC